CCCCCGCCAGAGGACCCCUAACUCUGUUUUUAUAAUGUUUUUCUGAGUAAACAAGCAAAUAAAUUAAAACUUUCAACAACGGAUCUCUUGGCUCUGGCAUCGAUGAAGAACGCAGCGAAAUGCGAUAUGUAAUGUGAAUUGCAGAAUUCAGUGAAUCAUCGAAUCUUUGAACGCACAUUGCGCCCGCCAGUAUUCUGGCGGGCAUGCCUGUUCGAGCGUCAUUACAACCCUCAGGCCCCCGGGCCUGGCGUUGGGGAUCGGCGGAAGCCCCCUGUGGGCACACGCCGUCCCUCAAAUACAGUGGCGGUCCCGCCGCAGCUUCCAUUGCGUAGUAGCUAACACCUCGCAACUGGAGAGCGGCGCGGCCAUGCCGUAAAACACCCAACUUCUGAAUGUUGACCUCGAAUCAGGUAGGAAUACCCGCUGAACUUAAGCAUAUCAAUAAGCGGAGGA
RNAcentral lists this ribosomal RNA (453 nucleotides) under uncultured fungus. RNAcentral describes it as "eukaryotic LSU rRNA". The stretch from base 68 to 221 matches the Rfam family "5.8S ribosomal RNA". The record is from RNAcentral. Lineage: Eukaryota; Fungi.